UAAGCUUACGUUAUUAAAGCCUGUGCUUUGUUACUUGAAUAAAGGUUUUGAGACCUCACUGACGUGUGAUAAGCAGCAGCCCACUGGUAUCGAUUGCAGCUCGUGCCGUUUAUCGAUUCAAAUUCUACGGCGGUUAUAUUUGCGAACGGGGGGUGGUCGUUUCCUUUGUGCAGCAUCACGCAGGUUCGUCUUAAUUAGCCAACAAUAAUAUCUCAGCCAGUUUAUGCAUCCGACAUUCGAUAGCCGCUAACAGACGAUCGUGUUUAAAGACGGUGAAUUUGGUCAGCUGCGGCGUUUCACUGGCGUAAUGGGUACAUACACGGCUUCCGUCGUCAGUGGUCUGCCACGUAAUGACGGGUUGCUUGAAAAAAAUGUGCUAGCUAGCGUGAAAACUCGUCGCUGGAACCGAGCACAGUCUGUCUGGAAACUACCCAAGAAAGCGGAUUAACCUUGCAUCUUCUGGGUGUGUGCACCGCCUCCAAGAUGCUGCUCAUAUUUGAUCACCACUUUGGACUCUAUUGUCUCUGGACGUACAAGUCACCAGUGAAUGUGUCACCACAGAGGCAGAAUCCUCGCAAGGUAUGUUUCUGAACACUUCAACUAGAACUGUGAUUUGUUCAUUUAUUGGACAAACUUUUGUUUCCCCAUUCCUUGCUUGCAUGUUUGUCAUGGCUUCAUGAUUUCUCUUUUCAGGAAGAAGGACAAAAGAGAGAUUAUUGGUUUGCAAGCUACCCACGCCAAGCCAUAAGAAGAUCAACGGACACCAUAAUAACAACAGGUCCUCUUGAACUACAUGCCUCACCAUGACAUGUUUGCAAGCUUACCAGAUAGAGGGCUGUGAGCCCUAUCAGGAAAGCAAGUCUACAGUUUUGUAUCGUACCGAGUCGCGAUGCUAAAAUAUGACAUACAAGCUUG
RNAcentral lists this long non-coding RNA (915 nucleotides) under Dermacentor andersoni. Its description in RNAcentral is "uncharacterized LOC126532985". Lineage: Eukaryota; Metazoa; Arthropoda; Arachnida; Ixodida; Ixodidae. The record is from RNAcentral.